GACGAACGCUGGCGGCGUGCUUAACACAUGCAAGUCGAACGGAAAGGCCCUGCUUUUGUGGGGUGCUCGAGUGGCGAACGGGUGAGUAACACGUGAGUAACCUGCCCUUGACUUUGGGAUAACUUCAGGAAACUGGGGCUAAUACCGGAUAGGAGCUCCUGCUGCAUGGUGGGGGUUGUAAAGUUUCGGCGGUUGGGGAUGGACUCGCGGCUUAUCAGCUUGUUGGUGGGGUAGUGGCUUACCAAGGCUUUGACGGGUAGCCGGCCUGAGAGGGUGACCGGCCACAUUGGGACUGAGAUACGGCCCAGACUCCUACGGGAGGCAGCAGUUGGGAAUAUUGCACAAUGGGCGGAAGCCUUAUGCAGCAACGCCGCGUGCGGGAUGACGGCCUUCGGGUUGUAAACCGCUUUCGCCUGUGACGAAGCGUGAGUGACGGUAAUGGGUAAAGAAGCACCGGCUAACUACGUG
Molecule: ribosomal RNA, 468 nt
Filed under: uncultured bacterium
Lineage: Bacteria
Description: partial 16S ribosomal RNA
Rfam family: Bacterial small subunit ribosomal RNA
Source: RNAcentral